Molecule: ribosomal RNA, 497 nt
Filed under: uncultured bacterium
Lineage: Bacteria
Description: partial 16S ribosomal RNA
Rfam family: Bacterial small subunit ribosomal RNA
Source: RNAcentral
GAUGAACGCUGGCGGCGUGCCUAAUACAUGCAAGUCGAGCGAACGGACGAGAAGCUUGCUUCUCUGAUGUUGGCGGCGGACGGGUGAGUAACACGUGGAUAACCUACCUAUAAGACUGGGAUAACUUCGGGAAACCGGAGCUAAUACCGGAUAAUAUUUUGAACCGCAUGGUUCAAAAGUGAAAGACGGUCUUGCUGUCACUUAUAGAUGGAUCCGCGCUGCAUUAGCUAGUUGGUAAGGUAACGGCUUACCAAGGCAACGAUGCAUAGCCGACCUGAGAGGGUGAUCGGCCACACUGGAACUGAGACACGGUCCAGACUCCUACGGGAGGCAGCAGUAGGGAAUCUUCCGCAAUGGGCGAAAGCCUGACGGAGCAAAGCCGCGUGAGUGAUGAAGGUCUUCGGAUCGUAAAACUCUGUUAUUAGGGAAGAACAUAUGUGUAAGUAACUGUGCACAUCUUGACGGUACCUAAUCAGAAAGCCACGGCUAACUACGUG